This is a long non-coding RNA of Centrocercus urophasianus (Greater sage-grouse), 1795 nucleotides long. RefSeq lists it as uncharacterized. The transcript is spliced from 2 exons. The record is from RefSeq and is a predicted model, not a curated record. Lineage: Eukaryota; Metazoa; Chordata; Aves; Galliformes; Phasianidae.
UCCUGCGGGCUGGGCACCUAUAAAUAACGCAGCCCGCCCCUCAGCCUUCCUCCCUUCCUCCAACCGGUUUUAUAAAUACCAAAGGCUGAAAGCAGCCUAAAUGCAGAGGGAGGAGAAAAAAAGAGGAAUAAACACCACCCCCCCAACUGUAAAAUGGGGGUUGGGGGGGGGGGGGGGAAGAAGGCAAGCUAAUGAGCAGUUGGAGCCAACGUGCCGGGGGAGCGCUCCCCGCCGCCGUCACAUGGCUCUGCGCUGUUUUUCUCCCCCCGCCGCCGGUGCGGCAGAACGGCGGCCGCCUCCGCCCGCCCGUGGCCGCGAAUGGUGGGGAGGAGUCCCGCGGCCUCCCCGGCCCUCAGCCCCGGGCCCGGCUGAGCUGCUCCCUCAAAUCAGAUAGCAAAGCCAGGCUUCGGCGGGCGGAAGGCACACAAAGCCCACCUAGAGGGGUGCCUGGGCCAAGCCGUGCAGCCCAGCGGUGGGAGGGAUGAGCUCAUUGACAAAGACCGUUUCUGUCUCUGCUGUAGGAGUGUCCCGGUUCCAGGUGUGUGCCUCAGUUUUGUCAACAUUGAGUCAGGAGAUCUGAUCUACGCCAUCUCCCACCACACCCAUCCGCGGGAGGAAAACCCAGUGCAGGAGCUGGCGGGGAGCCAUGGGGCACAUUGGAACGUGUGCCUGCUCUGUAUCAGACAGAGCCAUUAAAUAGUGUGGGGCCCAAACCAGGUAGUUACAGCGCCCAUAAAAGAAAGAUAACAGCUCUAAGACGCAGCAGUGACAACUGCACUUUGAGAUAUUCCUAUUGGAUGGAUUUUAUUCCAUGUGAUUAUGUCGUCUUGAUUUUAUAUUCUCAUAAUCGUGUAAAUGCUUCACAAGGGUUGAAGUACAGCUCUCUUCUAGAUGUUCUCUACCAGUGAUACUCAAUUUAUCAGCUAACUUCAGUUUCUCUCUCAGCAGCUGAACUCACAAAACUGCUUCUCCUGCGGAUUUGCAGACAAAUCCCUACAGAGUCCUUCCAGUUCUUUCCCUGUUUGGCUGGGCAAGGGGACAGCACUGCCCCUGGGGGGAGCUGAGACUACCUGCCUUUCUGCCAGGGCUCAGUGCUGCCUCUGCUGCAUACUCUGCUCGGCUGUUCCUUCCAGACCUAAACAUGUUUGGGAUUUCUUCCCCGCUGUCAAAUUUGGCUGAGGUUGGAGGAAGGAGGGGAAAAAUGACAGAGAACUUUUAGGAAACCAGGUUAAAAAUAUCAAAGGACUAUUGAGCUGCAAUAUGCAUUGGGCAUUUGCCUGUUCAUGUUUUUUUGGGGCUUGUUUGAUUUUUUUUCUGGUGGUUUUGUUGGUUGGUUUGUUGGUUUUUUUUUUUCCUGUUUUUAACCUUUUCCUAAGUAUGGCACGUCAUACAGGUAAGGAAUUUCUCAGCCAAAUACGCAUCUCCUGGCAGAUUUUACCUGUGUUCCAGCAUGCUGUGCAGAUGCAUGGGCCGUAUGCACAUGUGCUGUGUGUGCUGCAUAAUGAUGGGGAGCCACCGUUCUGUUGGGUGGUUGUGCCUGAGUACAAAGAGAGAUACCUUCGUAUGUAACAGGGGAACAAACAUUUCUUUUGUUUAAGAUCCAUACAAGUUUUGAUGGACAUGCUGGGCAUUUGCCAGGGCUGUCUUUUUUCUUUUCCUUUUAAACUACAUCUGUUCAUUUUAUUUCUGGCACUAUUAUGACAAAGCCACCUCUGUAAUAUAGGUAGCUUGUGCUUUCAGAGAUCUAAUCAUUCUUGAGCUUCGAAAGAAUAAAAAAGCUGUUUCAACAUCUGAA